This 476-nucleotide ribosomal RNA is filed under the name uncultured bacterium. RNAcentral describes it as "partial 16S ribosomal RNA". It matches the Rfam family "Bacterial small subunit ribosomal RNA", at positions 28 to 507 of the family's 1533-position model. The record is from RNAcentral.
GAUGAACGCUAGCGGCAGGCCUAACACAUGCCAGUCGAGGGAGAAGCCUUUCGGGGCAGCAACCGGCGCACGGGUGCGUAACGCGUAUGCAACCUACCUUUCACAGGGGGAUAGCCCGAAGAAAUUUGGAUUAAUACCCCAUAAUAUUGUUGGAUGGCAUCAUCUGAUAAUUAAAACUGCGGUGGUGAAAGAUGGGCAUGCGUCCUAUUAGCUAGUUGGAGUGGUAACGGCACCCCAAGGCUACGAUAGGUAGGGGUCCUGAGAGGGAGAUCCCCCACACUGGUACUGAGACAGGGACCAGACUCCUACGGGAGGCAGCAGUGAGGAAUAUUGGUCAAUGGUCGGAAGACUGAACCAGCCAUGCCGCGUGCAGGAAGAAUGCCUUAUGGGUUGUAAACUGCUUUUAUAUGGGAAGAAUAAGGUGUACGUGUACAUUGAUGACGGUACCAUAUGAAUAAGCAUCGGCUAACUCCGUG